AGUAGUCUUUUUUUUUUUUUUCCUUCCAAAAACAUUUCUAGUGACUUCAGAAGUAAAAAUACAUGUCAAAAGUUGCUUAGCUUUUCAAUUCCAACAUGGUUCUGUUACAACAGUAUCCAUAGGUCUUUGCCCUUUUAUGCUAGGUCUUUGAUAUCUUCAUAACAUCAGGAAGCUUGUUUAUCCAUACAAUGAGGGCUGUGUAAAAAAAAUCUAGAGAUUACAUGACUUCAGAGUUUGUUUAGGUCUGUGGCACAUGGGAAUAUGCAGUCUGUCCAUUAGUUUAAGGGGAGACUUUUUAUCCUUCCUAGGCUAAACCGUGUUUUUAUUCUGACAACUCUCAGGUGUGACUUAUAAAACUGCUGGAUCUCAUAUUACAUGGGCUGCUGAACGUGACAAGAUGUCAGCUCAGUUCUGGAAGCAUCAAGAGUACGAGGGCUGGAUGAAGCUCCCUGUGCUGAAAUCAGCGAUGACUUGAGGAUGCCAUGCCCAAAUUCUGUUGUUUUCUCCAAGUGAAAGGUUACUUCUUGCAGUGACAAACUAAGGAGGCCUGAAGAAAAAGAAAUAAAAGGAAAUAAUGAAUGUGUAUGCUUGACAAGCCAAGACAGCAACUGAUGAGGAAUGUGGAAUAAGUUUUCUACCAUUUACUUCAAACACUGUAUACUGAGAAUAAAUGACAGAUUGAUUAGUAA
Molecule: non-coding RNA, 689 nt
Organism: Meleagris gallopavo (turkey)
Lineage: Eukaryota; Metazoa; Chordata; Aves; Galliformes; Phasianidae
Source: RefSeq, a predicted model, not a curated record